GGCGGGGUAGCUCAGCUGGUUAGAGCGCACGACUCAUAAUCGUGAGGUCGGGAGAUCGAGCCUCCCUCCCGCUACCG
This 77-nucleotide transfer RNA is filed under the name Brevibacterium aurantiacum. RNAcentral's name for it is "tRNA-Met". It matches the Rfam family "tRNA". Rfam says of the family: Transfer RNA (tRNA) molecules are approximately 80 nucleotides in length. Their secondary structure includes four short double-helical elements and three loops (D, anti-codon, and T loops). Further hydrogen bonds mediate the characteristic L-shaped molecular structure. tRNAs have two regions of fundamental functional importance: the anti-codon, which is responsible for specific mRNA codon recognition, and the 3' end, to which the tRNAs corresponding amino acid is attached (by aminoacyl-tRNA synthetases). tRNAs cope with the degeneracy of the genetic code in two manners: having more than one tRNA (with a specific anti-codon) for a particular amino acid; and 'wobble' base-pairing, i.e. permitting non-standard base-pairing at the 3rd anti-codon position. RNAcentral also lists the same sequence under 1 other name. Lineage: Bacteria; Bacillati; Actinomycetota; Actinomycetes; Micrococcales; Brevibacteriaceae. The record is from RNAcentral.